UACGUAGGUGGCAAGCGUUAUCCGGAUUUAUUGGGCGUAAAGAGAACGCAGGCGGUCUUUUAAGUCUGAUGUGAAAGCCUUCGGCUUAACCGGAGUAGUGCAUUGGAAGCUGGGAGACUUGAGUGCAGAAGAGGAGAGUGGAACUCCAUGUGAAGCGGUGAAAUGUGUAGAUAUAUGGAAGAACACCAGUGGCGAAAGCGGCUCUCUGGUCUGUAACUGACGCUGAGGUUCGAAAGCGUGGGUAGCAAACAGG
RNAcentral lists this ribosomal RNA (253 nucleotides) under uncultured bacterium. RNAcentral describes it as "partial 16S ribosomal RNA". It matches the Rfam family "Bacterial small subunit ribosomal RNA", at positions 524 to 776 of the family's 1533-position model. The record is from RNAcentral.